CUUCCCUUCCCUGUUUUGUUGAGUUCUUAUUCUCAGAUUGCUAAAUUCGCCCCUCUUCCAUGGCGAGUGUGGCCUUUCUUCUAGCUUUUUCCUGCUUUCCUUUUCUUUUCCUUUGUACUUCUUCUAUCCGAGUUGUUACCUUCGCCCAUCCCCUAUGGUGGAUUUUUUUACCCGAUCUUUGUUUCCUUCGUAGUAUUACAUAUUUUACUUUUCUAGGGUUUUGAUUCUCGGAAGAUAUCAAUAGAAAAUCAAACUAAGAUCUCAAUAUAAAGAGUUUAAGUGUACUAUCUUUGGGAGGUUCUCCCUAUUGUCACUUUUCUCGGUGGUCAGUUUGGAAAAAUCUUGUGUUUUUAUGGGUAUUGUUGGCUGUUUCUUCAUAGAGGAUCUGAUCAAGCUUCUAAGUUGCCCGGUUUUGCACCUCUCCUAAUCCCCUUUUCUCUCUAAUCACAGUCAAGAUGAAAGCAUUCGACAAAUUUGAAAAUACAUUAGACGCAGCUACUACUGAUCGACAGCAAGCCUGGCAAAGGAUUGAGAAAAUUCUUGAAAGCACACUGCUCCGGCAACAUAUUAGUUGUUGCUGAUUCUAAACUUGGAUAUGCAAUCAAGGAGAAUCUGCAAAUUGACUGUGUUCACAAUAAUGCUAUGAUGGAGCUGAUGAGAGGGGUAAGAAGUCAGUUGACUGAACUCAUCUCUGGCUUUGGAGCUCAAGAACUUGUCCAAUUAGCUUAGGUCUAUCUCACAGCUUAUCGAGAUACAAGUUGAAGUUCAGUCCUGAUCUUAAUACAGAAUGGUAUGCCUGACAUUUUCCGGAGCUUGUAAAGAUUUUGCAAGACAUUAUAGUCUAUGCCAAGACUAUGAAGUUGAUGUUGAAUCGUGUUACUGCUGCGAAGUUGACUUUCUGUGAGGUAUUGAAUAUGGACUAUGGAGAGGAAAGUUCCGAACUCUCUCUGCUUUCAACUACAUGUUCCCACCAUAAACACAUUUUUGAGGUUUGUAUAAUGUCUUCUUAACAUCCUGACUUUUUAAUCAUGUUAUAUUGACCUCCUUAAAACAGGUUAGUUGCUUGUAGUUUCUUCUUCCCACGAGAGAUAUAUCCAUGCAACUUAAGCUACUUGCAAGGUAUAUUUUAAAUUCUGAUCAUAAGCAGUAACUUAUCCAACAAAGUAUUUCAGACUGCUAUCCAAGGCAGUAUUUGUUACUGCCAGUCAAUUUUAGUUAAUUGGAUAAUAUUGCCCUGACUACAGUUGACAAUGCAGCAAUGAAUUGGAAACGAGAAAGGUCAUUACCCUUUAUCAUUUAGUACUAAGUACAGCCUAAUUCUUAAACUAAAACUUGCAAAAUUCUUUUUCAAAUUGCAGGAACGUUUGGUUGACUUGGCAAAUUAUCAAGCAGAACCGGACCUUGUACAAUUCUGCGUUCUAAGAUUCCUCCCUUAUUGAGUUAUUGUUGCUUAUGCAGUAUUUCUUGCUAUAUGGACUCUUGAUCAAUCUGAUUAUCCAUGAUCAAUAUAUUUUUCUUUACA
Molecule: long non-coding RNA, 1522 nt
Organism: Spinacia oleracea (spinach)
Lineage: Eukaryota; Viridiplantae; Streptophyta; Magnoliopsida; Caryophyllales; Amaranthaceae
Exons: 6
Source: RefSeq, a predicted model, not a curated record